AUAACGCCGCCCCUGCCUUCGCUUCGGAGGGCCUCGUUUCCCCUAGCGGUGGAGGGGUGAUUCGGUGAUAGAAGUGACGGAGAGGAGUUGAGGAAAGAAGGAAGGAGGGUCUCGCAGAGUUGUCUGAGAGAUGUUUCCCGCCAUGACGGUGUGGAGAUCAAAAAGGUCCAACCGUAUGACAGGCUCUCUGUUUGUGACUUUGCCAUGGAAACAGGAGGAUUAUUUAUCCUUACAGUGCUUUUACAAUAACGUCCCUUUCCUGACUAAACAACAGAGGAAAUAUCAGACACGGCAGAUAAUGAACAGCAGCACUAGGUGGCGCCAGAGUGUCCGGUCUCCUUCAAGUUCAACCCUACAGCUGUCAG
Long non-coding RNA from Osmerus eperlanus (European smelt), 365 nucleotides. RefSeq lists it as uncharacterized. NCBI's taxonomy places the organism in Eukaryota, Metazoa, Chordata, Actinopteri, Osmeriformes, Osmeridae. The record is from RefSeq and is a predicted model, not a curated record. The transcript is spliced from 3 exons.